UCUAGAGAAGCAUCAUCCGUGCUGGACCAUGUACAAGUCUCUUGGAAUAGAGCGUCAUAGAGGGUGAGAAUCCCGUCCUUGACAUGGACUACCAGUGCUUUGUGUUGUGCUCUCAAC
This 117-nucleotide ribosomal RNA is filed under the name Thanatephorus cucumeris. RNAcentral's name for it is "partial large subunit ribosomal RNA". It matches the Rfam family "Eukaryotic large subunit ribosomal RNA", at positions 149 to 261 of the family's 3401-position model. The record is from RNAcentral. Lineage: Eukaryota; Fungi; Basidiomycota; Agaricomycetes; Cantharellales; Ceratobasidiaceae.